AUUGAACGCUGGCGGCAGGCCUAACACAUGCAAGUCGAACGGUAGCACAGAGAGCUUGCUCUCGGGUGAUGAGUGGCGGACGGGUGAGUAAUGUCUGGGAAACUGCCCGAUGGAGGGGGAUAACUACUGGAAACGGUAGCUAAUACCGCAUAAUGUCGCAGGACCAAAGAGGGGGACCUUCGGGCCUCUUGCCAUCGGAUGUGCCCAGAUGGGAUUAGCUUGUUGGUGAGGUAAUGGCCCACCAAGGCGACGAUCCCUAGCUGGUCUGAGAGGAUGACCAGCCACACUGGAACUGAGACACGGUCCAGACUCCUACGGGAGGCAGCAGUGGGGAAUAUUGCACAAUGGGCGCAAGCCUGAUGCAGCCAUGCCGCGUGUGUGAAGAAGGCCUUCGGGUUGUAAAGCACUUUCAGCGGGGAGGAAGGCGAUACGGUUAAUAACCGUGUUGCUUGACGUUACCCGCAGAAGAAGCACCGGCUAACUCCGUG
Molecule: ribosomal RNA, 488 nt
Filed under: uncultured bacterium
Lineage: Bacteria
Description: partial 16S ribosomal RNA
Rfam family: Bacterial small subunit ribosomal RNA
Source: RNAcentral